GAUGAACGCUGGCGGCGUGCCUAAUACAUGCAAGUCGAGCGAACGGACGAGAAGCUUGCUUCUCUGAUGUUAGCGGCGGACGGGUGAGUAAAACGUGGAUAACCUACCUAUAAGACUGGGAUAACUUCGGGAAACCGGAGCUAAUACCGGAUAAUAUUUUGAACCGAAUGGUUCAAAAGUGAAAGACGGUCUUGCUGUCACUUAUAGAUGGAUCCGCGCUGCAUUAGCUAGUUGGUAAGGUAACGGCUUACCAAGGCAACGAUGCAUAGCCGACCUGAGAGGGUGAUCGGCCACACUGGAACUGAGACACGGUCCAGACUCCUACGGGAGGCAGCAGUAGGGAAUCUUCCGCAAUGGGCGAAAGCCUGACGGAGCAACGCCGCGUGAGUGAUGAAGGUCUUCGGAUCGUAAAACUCUGUUAUUAGGGAAGAACAUAUGUGUAAGUAACUGUGCACAUCUUGACGGUACCUAAUCAGAAAGCCACGGCUAACUACGUG
RNAcentral lists this ribosomal RNA (497 nucleotides) under uncultured bacterium. Its description in RNAcentral is "partial 16S ribosomal RNA". It matches the Rfam family "Bacterial small subunit ribosomal RNA", at positions 28 to 507 of the family's 1533-position model. The record is from RNAcentral.